Molecule: ribosomal RNA, 438 nt
Filed under: Streptococcus cristatus
Lineage: Bacteria; Bacillati; Bacillota; Bacilli; Lactobacillales; Streptococcaceae
Description: bacterial SSU rRNA
Rfam family: Bacterial small subunit ribosomal RNA
Source: RNAcentral
GACGAACGCUGGCGGCGUGCCUAAUACAUGCAAGUAGAACGCUGAAGGAGGAGCCUGCUCUUCUGGAUGAGUUGCGAACGGGUGAGUAACGCGUAGGUAACCUGCCUGGUAGCGGGGGAUAACUAUUGGAAACGAUAGCUAAUACCGCAUAACAUUGACUAUUGCAUGAUAGUCAAUUGAAAGGUGCAAUUGCACCACUACCAGAUGGACCUGCGUUGUAUUAGCUAGUUGGUGGGGUAACGGCUCACCAAGGCGACGAUACAUAGCCGACCUGAGAGGGUGAUCGGCCACACUGGGACUGAGACACGGCCCAGACUCCUACGGGAGGCAGCAGUAGGGAAUCUUCGGCAAUGGGGGGAACCCCUGACCGAGCAAACGCCGCGUGAGUGAAAGAAAGGUUUUUCGGAUUCGUAAAAGCUUCUGUUGUAAAGAAGAAAG